Molecule: long non-coding RNA, 777 nt
Filed under: Anas platyrhynchos platyrhynchos (common mallard)
Lineage: Eukaryota; Metazoa; Chordata; Aves; Anseriformes; Anatidae
Description: lncRNA (ENSAPLG00000028776.1)
Source: RNAcentral
CUCUGCGCGGCGCUCCGCGGGACCCUUUGCUGCGCGGGGCCGUGCGCUGUCAGUCCGGAUCGGUCUGCGUUUUAUCGACCGCGUCUCUUGGGGGGAGGAGGGGGGGGCGGGGAGGAAGAGGAGGAUUUGCUCUGCCUCUGAAGCCCUCCUUGGGUUUAUCUGCAUCGUUUUGCUCGAGUCCAGCGGGAGCGGCCGCCUUACCGCCGUGCAGGUCUCUGUCUGCACAGUUUUGCUUGGGGAAGUCCACUCGUAGCACGCAGCGCGCCGUCCGGGCCCGGCUGCCGCCGGCAUACGGCGCUGCUGGGUCAGAGGCACCGCACCCUGCGCCUCUCCGGCCACGGACACGCAGCCCCGAGCGCUGGCGCGGUGUUAACUGCCAGCCUAAGGACUGGGUGGUUCGCCCCCCCCCGCUUCCCCCCUUCUCCCCUCUCUUCUUCCAGAAGGAGAUUCACGGAGAAAGUCUCCGAUGAACUUCUACGGCCGCUUUACAGUCUCGCGUCGUUUAUGGCAUGGAGUAAAGGAACCCGCGUGCACGCAGGGUCCAGUGGCGGAGCGGGAAAGCGGAGGGCUCUGUCUUUUGGAGCCAACAGUUUUUCAGGGGUCGUGACUACGAGGCAGCUCUCCGAGUCGGCUCCAAAGGGAGGGAGGAAGGAACGCAGGGAGGGUCACUACACUGAGGCUUUCCCACGGUCGCUCCACCACCUCCUUAACACCGGGAUAACGAAACACCCGUGGAGAGAGGAGCAAGAGUUACCAAGUCCUGUUGAGAAUACAUGA